AGAGGGUGCAAGCGUUAAUCGGAAUUAUUGGGCGUAAAGCGCGCGCAGGCGGUCCUUUAAGUCUGAUGUGAAAGCCCACGGCUCAACCGUGGAGGGUCAUUGGAAACUGGGGGACUUGAGUACAGAAGAGGAAAGCGGAAUUCCAAGUGUAGCGGUGAAAUGCGUAGAGAUUUGGAGGAACACCAGUGGCGAAGGCGGCUUUCUGGUCUGUAACUGACGCUGAGGCGCGAAAGCGUGGGGAGCAAACAGGGAUUAGAUACCCUGGUAGUCCACGCCGUAAACGAUGAGUGCUAAGUGUUAGGGGGUUUCCGCCCCCUUAGUGCUGCAGCUAACGCAUUAAGCACUCCGCCUGGGGAGUACGGCCGCAAGGCUG
This 373-nucleotide ribosomal RNA is filed under the name uncultured organism. RNAcentral's name for it is "partial 16S ribosomal RNA". It matches the Rfam family "Bacterial small subunit ribosomal RNA", at positions 527 to 896 of the family's 1533-position model. The record is from RNAcentral.